CUUCCGUNNGGGAACCUGCGGAAGGAUCAUUACCGAGUGUAGGGWUCCUAGCGAGCCCAACCUCCCACCCGUGUUUACUGUACCUUAGUUGCUUCGGCGGGCCCGCCAUUCAUGGCCGCCGGGGGCUCUCAGCCCCGGGCCCGCGCCCGCCGGAGACACCACGAACUCUGUCUGAUCUAGUGAAGUCUGAGUUGAUUGUAUCGCAAUCAGUUAAAACUUUCAACAAUGGAUCUCUUGGUUCCGGCAUCGAUGAAGAACGCAGCGAAAUGCGAUAACUAGUGUGAAUUGCAGAAUUCCGUGAAUCAUCGAGUCUUUGAACGCACAUUGCGCCCCCUGGUAUUCCGGGGGGCAUGCCUGUCCGAGCGUCAUUGCUGCCCAUCAAGCACGGCUUGUGUGUUGGGUCGUCGUCCCCUCUCCGGGGGGGACGGGCCCCAAAGGCAGCGGCGGCACCGCGUCCGAUCCUCGAGCGUAUGGGGCUUUGUCACCCGCUCUGUAGGCCCGGCCGGCGCUUGCCGAACGCAAAUCAAUCUUUUUCCAGGUUGACCUCGGAUCAGGUAGGGAUACCCGCUGAACUUAAGCAUAUCAAUAAGCGGAGGAA
Molecule: ribosomal RNA, 598 nt
Filed under: Aspergillus oryzae
Lineage: Eukaryota; Fungi; Ascomycota; Eurotiomycetes; Eurotiales; Aspergillaceae
Description: eukaryotic LSU rRNA
Source: RNAcentral